AGUAACACGUGAGUAACGUACCUCGGAGUGGGGGAUAACUACCCGAAAGGGUGGCUAAUACCGCAUGAGACCACAACGCCUUCGGGCGAAGGGGUCAAAGUCUUCGGACGCUCUGAGAUCGGCUCGCGGGCCAUUAGGUAGUUGGUGAGGUAAUGGCUCACCAAGCCUAUGAUGGCUAGCUGGUCUGAGAGGAUGAUCAGCCACACUGGGACUGAGACACGGCCCAG
This 227-nucleotide ribosomal RNA is filed under the name uncultured bacterium. RNAcentral's name for it is "partial 16S ribosomal RNA". It matches the Rfam family "Bacterial small subunit ribosomal RNA", at positions 109 to 334 of the family's 1533-position model. The record is from RNAcentral.